Molecule: long non-coding RNA, 1079 nt
Filed under: Numida meleagris (helmeted guineafowl)
Lineage: Eukaryota; Metazoa; Chordata; Aves; Galliformes; Numididae
Description: lncRNA (ENSNMEG00000018775.1)
Source: RNAcentral
GCAGCCCGGUGCCACGGGCGCUGCUUGGAUUCCCCUGCAAGCGCGGGGCUGUGGCUACAGGCAGGGAGAGGCAGUGUCACCUGCCAAGUCACGCCUUCGGCUGCAGGUGCCGGAGGGAGGCUGCGCACCCAUAAAGCCAGAGGAAGGCUGUGUGUGUUUAAAAACGGUUGUGGCGAUACGAGAGCGCGGUGUGUGCGUGCACAGCACCUGGAGAUCACGUUGAGGGCUGAGCAGGUUGGGUUUUCUGCCGCUCGCUGCAAACCUGCAGGGCACCGAUGCAUAGCGUGUGUGUAAGGUGAGCCCCCCACCCCGCUCAGGGUGAGCCCACUGUGAGUCUGCGGUGCUGAUUUAUUAAAUGGCGCGGCCUUUCUUGUGCCAGAGGGGAAUGUUUUCAUGCUGGAUCUUGACACAUGGGUGAGGUUAACCAGCUGCAUCCUCUGGAGGAUUUAUAGCUGCCUGUCAGGGAGCAUCGUGCUCGGGUCUGCACCAGGAAACCGACGCACUCCCCCAGGCUGCGUGACUGCAGGGCUCCCUGAGGCUUAAACUGUCCCUCUGGGGUAGGUAAACUGUGGGAUUAAAUCCUACCUCGCCAGGGAAAGCUGCAGUUAGGGAAUAAAGGUCAUUCCCAGUCAAAGAAAAAAAACUGUGCCACUAUCUGCAGAAGAACAGUUUUCUCCCAGAACCCAAUCUCUCCUGCGGUGCCCAAAAACUGGCCGACUUCCAACCGGUGCUUUCCACUCAGCCUUUCAGUGCAGCUUUACUUGCAUCUUCCAGGUCCCAGCUACAGCAAAAGUGGAGGAGCCCUAGGGACACCCCACCGGCACGAUGCUGUAACACACAGAGGCAAUCGAUGCUCACCUGACACCACCACCAGAGAAACAUCCAGCCUGAGUACACAGUGUGAGAUGGCAGAGCAAACAACCCCCAUGAACAAGUCCUGCUGCGUGUGCCAAGGCUCUAAAGACUUGUUGGUGCGUUGUCUCAGCCUUGUAGACUUCUUCACGUUGCAUGGAACUACGGAACAGCUUCCUGAAGAAUUUAAGGCAAAGCAUCUGUCAAGAACACACAACCAAAACUAG